AUAUGUAACAGAAAGAUAUUCUUGACACUGUUUGUUUCUGCAUGCACUCUGUCAGCUGCUGGGGAGAAUUAUCCUUAGAGGGAGAAUAUAGUCCAAUGUGGACUUCUACAUCUCCCAGAGCCAGGCAGCCAACCAUGCAGUGAGAGAGGCAGCCUGUAUCUGUACUGCAGAGCUGGGCACUAAGGUGAAGGAUUGUCUGAAACCGUACGUGGGGACAGUUUCCUUCUCCUGCUUGGAGAGCUGAGUGGUGUGAGUGGGUGUGCAUGACCGAGUGUCCUCCCUCCUCCCCCUCUGUGCUGAGACACUACAGCACAAACACUACCCUCAACACCUCAACCUCGAUCUGGAGACACUGCUCAAACUGAGCAGUGACAAUACCUGGUGCAGUCUGCUGGAGUGGACUAGCUAGCUGUCUCACCUCACUAUGUCAGCUGCUAGGGAGAAUGAUCCUCAGAGGGAGAAUAGAACAACAAAAAC
Molecule: long non-coding RNA, 477 nt
Organism: Halichondria panicea
Lineage: Eukaryota; Metazoa; Porifera; Demospongiae; Suberitida; Halichondriidae
Exons: 5
Source: RefSeq, a predicted model, not a curated record